RNAcentral lists this ribosomal RNA (274 nucleotides) under uncultured bacterium. RNAcentral's name for it is "partial 16S ribosomal RNA". It matches the Rfam family "Bacterial small subunit ribosomal RNA", at positions 524 to 796 of the family's 1533-position model. The record is from RNAcentral.
UACGUAGGGUCCGAGCGUUAUCCGGAAUCAUUGGGCGUAAAGAGCUCGUAGGCGGUUCAGCAAGUCGGCUGUGAAAGUCCGAGGCUCAACCUCGGAAUUGCAGUCGAUACUGCUGUGACUCGAGUCCGGUAGAGGAGAAUGGAAUUCCCGGUGUAGCGGUGAAAUGCGCAGAUAUCGGGAGGAACACCAGUAGCGAAGGCGGUUCUCUGGGCCGGCACUGACGCUGAGGAGCGAAAGCGUGGGGAGCAAACAGGAUUAGAUACCCCCGUAGUCC